This is a non-coding RNA of Podarcis lilfordi (Lilford's wall lizard), 114 nucleotides long. The record is from the annotation of a GenBank genome assembly. NCBI's taxonomy places the organism in Eukaryota, Metazoa, Chordata, Lepidosauria, Squamata, Lacertidae.
ACACACACACACACACACACACACACACACACACGACCAGUGAGGACUGAGCAUGCUUGGUGAUCACAGCGUGUGAAGGGGUGUGUGUGUGUGUGUGUGUGUGUGUGUGUGUGU